Mus musculus (house mouse) is the source of this 1597-nucleotide RNA transcript. It is a transcript of the gene named predicted gene 8417, with no coding region annotated. The transcript has 2 exons. NCBI's taxonomy places the organism in Eukaryota, Metazoa, Chordata, Mammalia, Rodentia, Muridae. The record is from RefSeq and is marked validated.
ACAAUUAGGAGAAUGAAAACGGGAAACUGAGUCCCUGAGAAGCUCAAGGAUGGUGGGCAUGGAUAUCCCUGCCUAAAGUUAUUGAACCAACUGCACUCCUGAAUCUUCAACUCACAAGGGAUUGUAAUUCUUUUCAGAGCUCCUGUGUAGACUGAGAGGACUCAAUUACUGGAAUUGUCCACUCCUUCACCUGUUUUUCCCAUCCACUAUAAGCAGACCGACUCUGAUACCCACCUGUGUGGCUUUCUGUAGCAUUCUCUUCCUCACCUUGGCUACAGGAUGUCAAGCUUUCCCAAAGGUGGAAACAGCACAAGAAUAUGCAGAGAAAGAGCAGUCCCAGAAGAUGAACACAGAUGACCAAGAAAACAUCUCCUUUGCUCCAAAGUACAUGCUGCAGCAGAUGUCCUCUGAAGCUCCAAUGGUACUAUCUGAAGGACCUUCAGUGAUACCAUUAAUUAAAGUAUUCUCAGUCAACAAAAAGAGUCACCUUCCAGGAGCCAGGCUUCUGCAUCCUACCAGCCCUGGUGUUUACUCUUUCAGUGAGCCUGUGGUCUCAGCCAGUGAACAAGAGCAUGGCCCCAGCCAGCUUGAAAGAAUGUCUUCUGAGCACAGCCUUUCCAAGGCCAUGCUAACUGUUGCUGUAUCUUCACCUACUUCUCUGAAUCCUGACCAGGAGGGACCCUAUAACAGUUUGAGUACCCAGCCUAUUGUAGAAGCAGUCACAGAUGUAACAUGUAGUUCCCUGGAGUAUUUAGAUGACCAGUUGUUUACAACUAAAAGUCAGGAAGCAGUUAGCUUAGGAAAUUCACCUUCUUCCUCUAUAAAUACCAAAGAACCUGAGAUAAUCAAAGCAGAUGCAACCACGGGAACAACUGUCUUUCCUGGUGCUGAUUCUACAAGAGACACAGAGCCUGAUAGGGAGAGGCCUUCAGAGAUGGCAGCUGAUGAUGUCCAGAGCACUACCACCAAGCAUUUGAAGACAGUCCCCAAUAAUGUCCUGACUACUGAGCCAACAGCCAGCAGUAUUUUGGGAGACACUAAGGUCACAGUGAGUGUCAGCACAGCUGGCCCAGUCUCUUCUACCUUCAGUGAGGAGUGGGAUGACACCAAAUUUGAGAGCAUAAGUCAGGGGAGGCCCCCAGAGCCAGGAGACAAUGCAGGGACUCAAGUGAGCACAAAGCCACCACAUGGAACCUAUGAGAGUUUUGAGGGGACUGAGGAGAUCCCCCCUUCCACAGCAGUUUUAAAGGUGGCUCCAGGGCUCCUGGAAGGAGAACCAGCCUUGGGAACAGCCCUGGUGACUGCACUGGGGGAUGAGAGGUCACCAAUCUUGACCCAUCAGAUUUCCUUCACUCCCAUGAGUCUGGCAGAAGACCUUGAAAUUUCCACCAUGAAGCUGUUUCCAAGUGUAGGAGGCUUCAGAGCUUCCCACCCAGGGGAACAGGACCCAGCUCUCCUCAGAGACUGCACUUUCUACCUCUCAAUAUGAGUCUGUGCCACAGCAGGAAUCAGGCAAUGUGUUAAAAUGUAUGAGAAGACAGUAAAAAAUUCAAACAACCGUAAAUAAAGCAUAUGCAAAGUUCGAUUGAUUUGGAAA